This 1580-nucleotide unclassified non-coding RNA is filed under the name Hevea brasiliensis (rubber tree). The record is from RNAcentral. Lineage: Eukaryota; Viridiplantae; Streptophyta; Magnoliopsida; Malpighiales; Euphorbiaceae.
AAAUUUAACACCAACCCACAUUCCCAUUUUUGUAGAUCUAAAUCCCCAAAUUCGAUUCUUGGGAAUUAACGCCCUCAAUUUUUUUUUCGCCAUGGCAGCAGAACAAUCAAAGAAAUGGAUUCUUAUGGUGACUGCUCAAACACCCACAAACAUAGCAGUGAUUAAAUAUUGGGGAAAAAGGGAUGAAAAUCUUAUUCUAGCUAUUAAUGAUAGUAUUAGUGUUACCCUUGAUCCUGCUCAUCUUUGUACCACAACCACUGUUGCUGUUAGCCCUUCUUUCCAACAAGAUCGCAUGUGGUUAAACAAAAAGGAAAUAUCCCUUGAUGGAGCCAGAUACCAAAAUUGUCUAAGAGAAAUUCGAGCUCGUGCUAAUGAUUACGAGGAUGAGAAGAAGGGUAUCAAGAUCAGUAAAAAUGAUUGGCAGAACUUGCAUGUGCAUAUUGAUUCUUACAAUAAUUUUCCAACUGCUGCUGGUCUGGCUUCCUCAGCUGCUGGUUUUGCCUGCCUCGUCUUUUCCCUUGCGAAGUUAAUGAAUGUGCAAGAGGACAAUGGGAGACUUUCUGCCAUAGCAAGGCAAGGUUCGGGAAGUGCUUGUCGAAGCUUGUUUGGAGGAUUUGUCAAGUGGGUCAUGGGAAAGGAGGAAGAUGGUAGCGAUAGUAUAGCUGUUCCACUCGCAGACGAGAAACACUGGGAUGAGCUUGUUAUCAUCAUUGCAGUGGUUAGCUCACGGCAGAAGGAAACAAGUAGCACCUCAGGAAUGCGCGAGACUGUUGUAACCAGUGCACUUAUAGACCACAGAGCAAAGGAAGUAGUACCAAAACGCAUUGUUCAGAUGGAAGAAGCUAUACAAAAUCGCGAUUUUCCAACUUUUGCCCAACUGACUUGUUCUGACAGCAAUCAAUUUCAUGCAGUCUGCAUGGACACUAGCCCUCCUAUAUUCUACAUGAAUGACACAUCUCAUAGGGUAAUUAGCUGUGUCGAGAAAUGGAACCGUGCAGAAGGAACUCCACAGGUUGCAUACACCUUCGAUGCUGGGCCAAAUGCUGUUCUAAUUGCGCGUAACAGAAAGGCUGCCACACUUAUGCUUCAGAGGCUUCUUUUCCACUUCCCUCCAAAUUCAGAUACCGAUCUAGACAGCUAUGUCAUAGGCGAUAAGUCAAUUCUGAAGGAUGCUGGGAUAAAGGAUUUAAACGACAUUGAAGCAUUACCACCUCCACCUGAAAUUAAGGACAAGGUUCCGGCUCAGAAAUGCAAAGGUGAAAUAAGCUACUUCAUCUGCACAAGACCUGGCAGAGGUCCAGUUUUGCUACCUGACGAAAGUCAGGCUCUCCUCUGCCUUGAAACUGGUUUGCCCAAGUAAAAGAGCAAUUUCUUUUUUUUACUUGUGCUGAUGUUUAAGUAAUCGACACAACUCCACGAGAUCCAAGUAUUGCACCCUCUUUGCCUUGAGAGAUGAGGAUGCCAUUUUAAACUCUCUUUUUUUUUCCCUAUGUUUGGAUAAAAUUUAAACUCAAAGCUUUUGCUUGUAGCUUAGCUUAGUUGUGUACUCUCAUCUUUGAGCAAUGCAAUAAAAGUCCUCA